RNAcentral lists this ribosomal RNA (253 nucleotides) under uncultured bacterium. RNAcentral's name for it is "partial 16S ribosomal RNA". It matches the Rfam family "Bacterial small subunit ribosomal RNA", at positions 524 to 776 of the family's 1533-position model. The record is from RNAcentral.
GACGGAGGGUGCGAGCGUUGUUCGGAUUGACUGGGCGUAAAGGGCGUGUAGGCGGUCGGCCAAGUCUGGUGUGAAAGCCCGGGGCUCAGCUCCGGAAGUGCGCCGGAAACUAGCCGGCUGGAGCGCGGUAGAGGAGGGUGGAAUUCCUGGUGUAGCGGUGAAAUGCGUAGAUAUCAGGAGGAACACCGGCGGCGAAGGCGGCCCUCUGGACCGUUGCUGACGCUGAGACGCGAAAGCGUGGGGAGCAAACAGG